AGAAUCAACGCUGGCGGCGUGCCUAACACAUGCAAGUCGAACGAGAAAGUGGAGCAAUCCAUGAGUAAAGUGGCGACCGGGUGAGUAACACGUGACUAACCUACCUUCGAGUGGGGGAUAACCUCGGGAAACCGAGGCUAAUACCGCAUAACAUCGCAAGAUCAAAGCAGCAAUGCGCUGGAAGAGGGGGUCGCGGCUGAUUAGCUAGUUGGCGGGGUAAUGGCCCACCAAGGCGAAGAUCGGUAGCCGGCCUGAGAGGGCGCACGGCCACACUGGAACUGAAACACGGUCCAGACUCCUACGGGAGGCAGCAGUGGGGAAUUUUGCGCAAUGGGGGAAACCCUGACGCAGCAACGCCGCGUGGAGGAUGAAGCCCCUUGGGGUGUAAACUCCCUUCGACCAAGACGAUAAUGACGGUACUGGUGGAAGAAGCACCGGCUAACUCUGUGCCAGCAGCCGC
This 460-nucleotide ribosomal RNA is filed under the name uncultured bacterium. RNAcentral's name for it is "SSU rRNA". It matches the Rfam family "Bacterial small subunit ribosomal RNA", at positions 26 to 518 of the family's 1533-position model. The record is from RNAcentral.